RNAcentral lists this long non-coding RNA (220 nucleotides) under Lathyrus oleraceus (garden pea). RNAcentral describes it as "Pisum sativum (pea) long non-coding RNA (PSAT_LNC032634)". Lineage: Eukaryota; Viridiplantae; Streptophyta; Magnoliopsida; Fabales; Fabaceae. The record is from RNAcentral.
UUUCCAAAAAUGAUGAAAUUUUUUCUCCAAGGUCCUUUGACCUUGUUUGACCUAUGAUAAAUCUCUUGACCAUUUUUUUAAUUUAAUGUAUAUUUAAUUGUGAAUAAAUGGUGUUAAGCUAUUUUCAUUGACUUGUUGAGUUUGACUAUGUUGUUUGAGCCUUGGUCAAGGUUGAUUUGACUUUUGUUGGAUUAAAAUCAUUGGAUUUAGGGGAUUGAUG